GACGAACGCUGGCGGCGUGCCUAAUACAUGCAAGUAGAACGCACAGUUUAUACCGUAGCUUGCUACACCAUAGACUGUGAGUUGCGAACGGGUGAGUAACGCGUAGGUAACCUGCCUGGUAGCGGGGGAUAACUAUUGGAAACGAUAGCUAAUACCGCAUAAUAUUAAUUAUUGCAUGAUAAUUAAUUGAAAGGUGCAAUUGCACCACUACCAGAUGGACCUGCGUUGUAUUAGCUAGUAGGUGAGGUAACGGCUCACCUAGGCGACGAUACAUAGCCGACCUGAGAGGGGGAUCGGCCACACUGGGACUGAGACACGGCCCAGACUCCUACGGGAGGCAGCAGUAGGGAAUCUUCGGCAAUGGACGAAAGUCUGACCGAGCAACGCCGCGUGAGUGAAGAAGGUUUUCGGAUCGUAAAGCUCUGUUGUAAGAGAAGAACGGGUGUGAGAGUGGAAAGUUCACACUGUGACGGUAUCUGACCAGAAAGGGACGGCUAACUACGCG
This 505-nucleotide ribosomal RNA is filed under the name uncultured bacterium. RNAcentral describes it as "partial 16S ribosomal RNA". It matches the Rfam family "Bacterial small subunit ribosomal RNA", at positions 28 to 507 of the family's 1533-position model. The record is from RNAcentral.